UUCUGACCUCGAAUCAGGUGGGACUACCCGCUGAACUUAAGCAUAUCAAUAAGCGGAGGAAAAGAAACUAACAAGGAUUCCCUUAGUAACUGCGAGUGAAGUGGGAUGAGCUCAAAUUUAAAAUCUGGUGGUCUUUGGCUGCCCGAGUUGUAAUCUAGAGAAGUGUUUUCUGUGCUGGACUGUGUUUAAGUUUCCUGGAUAUGGAACAUCAUAGAGGGUGAGAAUCCCGUCCUUAACACAGACACCCCAGUGCUCUGUGAUGCACUCUCGACGAGUCGAGUUGUUUGGGAUUGCAGCUCAAAAUGGGAGGUAA
Molecule: ribosomal RNA, 313 nt
Filed under: Hydnum umbilicatum
Lineage: Eukaryota; Fungi; Basidiomycota; Agaricomycetes; Cantharellales; Hydnaceae
Description: partial 28S ribosomal RNA
Rfam family: Eukaryotic large subunit ribosomal RNA
Source: RNAcentral